GACAGAGGGGGCAAGCGUUGUUCGGAAUUACUGGGCGUAAAGGGCGCGCAGGCGGCCGAUCAAGUCAGAUGUGAAAGCCCCGGGCUCAACUUGGGAAUAGCAUUUGGGACUGGUUGGCUAGAGAUCGGGAGAGGAGAGUGGAAUUCCCAGUGUAGAGGUGAAAUUCGUAGAUAUUGGGAAGAACACCGGUGGCGAAGGCGUCUCUCUGGACCGAUACUGACGCUGAGGCGCGAAAGCGUGGGGAGCAAACAGG
This 253-nucleotide ribosomal RNA is filed under the name uncultured bacterium. Its description in RNAcentral is "partial 16S ribosomal RNA". It matches the Rfam family "Bacterial small subunit ribosomal RNA", at positions 524 to 776 of the family's 1533-position model. The record is from RNAcentral.